UACGGGAGGCAGCAGUGGGGAAUAUUGCACAAUGGGCGCAAGCCUGAUGCAGCCAUGCCGCGUGUAUGAAGAAGGCCUUCGGGUUGUAAAGUACUUUCAGUCGUGAGGAAGGUGUUAAGGUUAAUAACCUUAGCAAUUGACGUUAGCGACAGAGAAGCACCGGCUAACUCCGUGCCAGCAGCCGCGGUAAUACGGAGGGUGCGAGCGUUAAUCGGAAUUACUGGGCGUAAAGGGCACGCAGGCGGUUAAUUAAGUUGGAUGUGAAAUCCCCGGGCUUAACCUGGGAAUGGCAUUCAAGACUGGUUAGCUAGAGUCUUGUAGAGGGGGUAGAAUUCCAUGUGUAGCGGUGAAAUGCGUAGAGAUGUGGAGGAAUACCGGUGGCGAAGGCGGCCCCUGGACAAAGACUGACGCUCAUGUGCGAAAGCGUGGGGAGCAAAC
Molecule: ribosomal RNA, 438 nt
Filed under: uncultured bacterium
Lineage: Bacteria
Description: bacterial SSU rRNA
Rfam family: Bacterial small subunit ribosomal RNA
Source: RNAcentral